Molecule: long non-coding RNA, 103 nt
Organism: Perognathus longimembris pacificus (Pacific pocket mouse)
Lineage: Eukaryota; Metazoa; Chordata; Mammalia; Rodentia; Heteromyidae
Exons: 4
Source: RefSeq, a predicted model, not a curated record
AAUUCUGUAUAGUUUCCAACUUGAUAUUCCUGAGGUAUAAUGACUAUAACAUGCUAAUAAGCACAGGAUCAAAGAUGCUAUUACUGAACUGGGGAAAACGAAU